This 381-nucleotide ribosomal RNA is filed under the name uncultured eukaryote. RNAcentral describes it as "partial 18S ribosomal RNA". It matches the Rfam family "Eukaryotic small subunit ribosomal RNA", at positions 592 to 976 of the family's 1831-position model. The record is from RNAcentral.
CAAUAGCGUAUAUUAAAGUUGUUGCGGUAAAAAAGCUCGUAGUUGGAUUUCUACCGAAGAUAGCCGGUCGGGUCUUCGACCUUGUAUCUGGUUUUGUCUUUGGUAUCCUCAUAGGGAACGUUUCUGCGCUUUAUUGCGUGGUGCGGUAUCUAUGACUUUUACUUUGAGGAAAUUAGAGUGUUCACGGCAGGCAAACGCCUUGAAUAUAUUAGCAUGGAAUAAUAACAUAGGAUCUUCGUCCUAUUUUGUUGGUUUCUAGAACUUAGGUAAUGAUUAAUAGGGACAAUUGGGGGCAUUCGUAUUAACGCGUCAGAGGUGGAAUUCUUGGAUUGCGUUACGACGAACUACUGCGAAAGCAUUUGCCAAAGAUGUUUUCAUUGA